Molecule: non-coding RNA, 21 nt
Filed under: Arabidopsis thaliana (thale cress)
Lineage: Eukaryota; Viridiplantae; Streptophyta; Magnoliopsida; Brassicales; Brassicaceae
Source: RNAcentral
UAUGGAAGGUAGCCUGCUCGA